This 448-nucleotide ribosomal RNA is filed under the name uncultured bacterium. RNAcentral's name for it is "bacterial SSU rRNA". It matches the Rfam family "Bacterial small subunit ribosomal RNA", at positions 30 to 524 of the family's 1533-position model. The record is from RNAcentral.
CGAACGCUGGCGGCAUGCCUAACACAUGCAAGUCGAACGCCCUCUUCGGAGGGAGUGGCGCACGGGUGAGUAACGCGUGGGAACCUGCCCCGAGGUACGGAAUAACGGCUGGAAACGGCCGCUAAUACCGUAUGUGUCCUGAGGGAGAAAGAUUUAUCGCCUUGGGAGGGGCCCGCGUCCGAUUAGCUAGUUGGUGGGGUAACGGCCUACCAAGGCAACGAUCGGUAGCUGGUCUGAGAGGAUGAUCAGCCACACUGGGACUGAGACACGGCCCAGACUCCUACGGGAGGCAGCAGUGGGGAAUAUUGGACAAUGGGGGCAACCCUGAUCCAGCAAUGCCGCGUGUGUGAAGAAGGCCUUAGGGUUGUAAAGCACUUUCGCCGAUGACGAUGAUGACGGUAGUCGGACAAGAAGCCCCGGCUAACUCCGUGCCAGCAGCCGCGGUAAU